This 800-nucleotide ribosomal RNA is filed under the name Bacillus stratosphericus. RNAcentral describes it as "bacterial SSU rRNA". It matches the Rfam family "Bacterial small subunit ribosomal RNA", at positions 31 to 817 of the family's 1533-position model. The record is from RNAcentral. Lineage: Bacteria; Bacillati; Bacillota; Bacilli; Caryophanales; Bacillaceae.
GGACUUUGUCGCCUUUCUAUACAUGCAGUCGAGCGGACAGAAGGGAGCUUGCUCCCGGAUGUUAGCGGCGGACGGGUGAGUAACACGUGGGUAACCUGCCUGUAAGACUGGGAUAACUCCGGGAAACCGGAGCUAAUACCGGAUAGUUCCUUGAACCGCAUGGUUCAAGGAUGAAAGACGGUUUCGGCUGUCACUUACAGAUGGACCCGCGGCGCAUUAGCUAGUUGGUGAGGUAACGGCUCACCAAGGCGACGAUGCGUAGCCGACCUGAGAGGGUGAUCGGCCACACUGGGACUGAGACACGGCCCAGACUCCUACGGGAGGCAGCAGUAGGGAAUCUUCCGCAAUGGACGAAAGUCUGACGGAGCAACGCCGCGUGAGUGAUGAAGGUUUUCGGAUCGUAAAGCUCUGUUGUUAGGGAAGAACAAGUGCAAGAGUAACUGCUUGCACCUUGACGGUACCUAACCAGAAAGCCACGGCUAACUACGUGCCAGCAGCCGCGGUAAUACGUAGGUGGCAAGCGUUGUCCGGAAUUAUUGGGCGUAAAGGGCUCGCAGGCGGUUUCUUAAGUCUGAUGUGAAAGCCCCCGGCUCAACCGGGGAGGGUCAUUGGAAACUGGGAAACUUGAGUGCAGAAGAGGAGAGUGGAAUUCCACGUGUAGCGGUGAAAUGCGUAGAGAUGUGGAGGAACACCAGUGGCGAAGGCGACUCUCUGGUCUGUAACUGACGCUGAGGAGCGAAAGCGUGGGGAGCGAACAGGAUUAGAUACCCUGGUAGUCCACGCCGUAAACGAUGAGUGCU